AUCACCUGGGAAUCCUCCUAAAGUGCAGAUUCUGAUUGAGAAUGUCCAGGGAAGACCCUGAGGUUCUGCAUUUAUAAGAUGCUCCCAGGUGAUGCUGA
This 98-nucleotide microRNA precursor is filed under the name Callithrix jacchus (white-tufted-ear marmoset). RNAcentral's name for it is "mir-544 microRNA precursor family". It matches the Rfam family "mir-544 microRNA precursor family". The record is from Rfam by way of RNAcentral. Lineage: Eukaryota; Metazoa; Chordata; Mammalia; Primates; Cebidae.